GAUUAACGCUGGCGGCGUGCCUAACACAUGCAAGUCGAACGAGGUAGCAAUACCUAGUGGCAGACGGGUGAGUAACGCGUGGUCAACCUACCGUUGAGUGGGGGAUAACUAGCCGAAAGGUUAGCUAAUACCGCAUACGUCUCCGAGGGGCAUCCCUUGGCGAUAAAAGGAGCAAUCCGCUCGAUGACGGGACCGCGUCCCAUUAGCUAGAUGGUGGGGUAACGGCCUACCAUGGCACCGAUGGGUAGCUGGUUUGAGAGAGCGACCAGCCACACUGGGGACUGAGAAACGGCCCAGACUCCUACGGGAGGCAGCAGUGAGGAAUUUUCCGCAAUGGGCGCAAGCCUGACGGAGCGACGCCGCGUGUGGGAAGAAGGCCUU
Molecule: ribosomal RNA, 381 nt
Filed under: uncultured bacterium
Lineage: Bacteria
Description: bacterial SSU rRNA
Rfam family: Bacterial small subunit ribosomal RNA
Source: RNAcentral